RNAcentral lists this ribosomal RNA (469 nucleotides) under uncultured bacterium. Its description in RNAcentral is "partial 16S ribosomal RNA". It matches the Rfam family "Bacterial small subunit ribosomal RNA", at positions 28 to 507 of the family's 1533-position model. The record is from RNAcentral.
GAUUAACGCUAGCGGCAGGCAUAAUACAUGCAAGUUGAACGGCAGCACAGGUAGCAAUACUGGGUGGCGAGUGGCGCACGGGUGCGUAACACGUAUGCAACCUACCCUAUACAGGCGAAUAACCUUUAGAAACGAGGGCUAAUACGCCGUAGUAUUACAGACGGGCAUCUAUUUGUAGUUAAGGAUUUGUCGGUAUAGGAUGGGUUUGCGUGUCAUUCGUUUGUUGGUAGGGUAGUGGCUUACCAAGGCUGUGACGGGUAGGCGGCCUGAGAGGGUGACCGGCCACAUUGGGACUGAGAUACGGCCCAGACUCCUACGGGAGGCAGCAGUGGGGAAUAUUGCACAAUGGGCGGAAGCCUGAUGCAGCAACGCCGCGUGCGGGAUGACGGCUUUCGGGUUGUAAACAGCUUUCGCCUGUGACGAAGCGUGAGUGACGGUAAUGGGUAAAGAAGCACCGGCUAACUACGUG